UCGAGAAUUUUUCUCAAUGGGGGCAACCCUGAAGGAGCGACGCCGCGUGGAGGAUGAAGGCUCUCGGGUUGUAAACUCCUGUCAUUUGGGAACAAGUUGUACGUAUUUACCGUACGUGCAUUGAUAGUACCAGAAGAGGAAGGGACGGCUAACUCUGUGCCAGCAGCCGCGGUAAUACAGAGGUCCCAAGCGUUGUUCGGAUUCAUUGGGCGUAAAGGGUGCGUAGGUGGCGCCGUAAGUCGGGUGUGAAAUUUCGGAGCUUAACUCCGAAACUGCAUUCGAUACUGCGGUGCUUGAGGACUGGAGAGGAGACUGGAAUUCAUGGUGUAGCAGUGAAAUGCGUAGAGAUCAUGAGGAAGACCAGUGGCGAAGGCGGGUCUCUGGACAGUUCCUGACACUGAGGCACGAAGGCCAGGGGAGCAAACGG
This 427-nucleotide ribosomal RNA is filed under the name uncultured bacterium. RNAcentral's name for it is "bacterial SSU rRNA". It matches the Rfam family "Bacterial small subunit ribosomal RNA", at positions 355 to 775 of the family's 1533-position model. The record is from RNAcentral.